GAUGAACGCUGGCGGCGUGCCUAAUACAUGCAAGUCGAGCGAACGGACGAGAAGCUUGCUCCUCUGAUGUUAGCGGCGGACGGGUGAGUAACACGUGGAUAACCUACCUAUAAGACUGGGAUAACUUCGGGAAACCGGAGCUAAUACCGGAUAAUAUUUUGAACCGCAUGGUUCAAAAGUGAAAGACGGUUUUGCUGUCACUUAUAGAUGGAUCCGCGCUGCAUUAGCUAGUUGGUAAGGUAACGGCUUACCAAGGCAACGAUGCGUAGCCGACCUGAGAGGGUGAUCGGCCACACUGGAACUGAGACACGGUCCAGACUCCUACGGGAGGCAGCAGUAGGGAAUCUUCCGCAAAGGGCGAAAGCCUGACGGAGCAACGCCGCGUGAGUGAUGAAGGUCUUCGGAUCGUAAAACUCUGUUAUUAGGGAAGAACAUAUGUGUAAGUAACUGUGCACAUCUUGACGGUACCUAAUCAGAAAGCCACGGCUAACUACGUG
This 497-nucleotide ribosomal RNA is filed under the name uncultured bacterium. Its description in RNAcentral is "partial 16S ribosomal RNA". It matches the Rfam family "Bacterial small subunit ribosomal RNA", at positions 28 to 507 of the family's 1533-position model. The record is from RNAcentral.